UUUUCUUGUUCUUUGAAAAGCUUAAUACGAGGAUCAGAAGCCAAUGCAGUAUCAACAAGGUUACGUAGGCGUGCAUUAUCACGAGCCUUAUUCUUUUGACGUUCCGAACGAUUCUUCUUCUCCUGAAAACGCUUGUUAUCACGAGAUUCACCAUCAUCAGGGAUAUCCUUGUCUAAAUAUUCAAAGCUUCUCCAAGAAUCAAAAUUGUACCAGAAGUUAUAAAAGUUAUCAACUUCGGCACGAGUAGAUUCAAUUGUACCAAGUGAAGGGACGGGUUGCUUUUUAGAAAAUCUAGCUUCACUCUCGAAAACUGGAGUCCAGAGUUCAAAGAAGGUUUCUUUAGUAGUAGACUCAGGAGGCUCAACAUCAGCAUUCUCAUCAACUGAAUCGAAUUGACGGCGCCUUACAGGAUCAGAUAAAAUUUCAUAAGCCUUUUGGAUGCACUUGAAGAAAGAAUCAUCGUUUAUGUUACCAGAGGCAGCUUUCUUAUCAGGAUGAUGCUUCAAAACCUUCUUCAAAUGAGCUUUCUUGAUUUGCUCAGUAUCAGCUUUGUAGCGGUACUUGGAAAGACCUAAGACAGCAUAAUGAUCUUGUUGCUUCCAUUCCUUGGGAUCAGCACGGAGCAUAGCAGGAUCCUCCUCUUCGUCUUCAGAUUCCUCCUUGACCUCUUCUUGAACUUUGUUCUUUACUUCAAGGCGCUCAUCUUCACUAAAUGUACGACCAUGCCUUUGACGCCUAGCAUGGGCAAGGAAAAGUGGACCUACUGGUUCAACCGCACGCUUAAUUAAAGGGCUAAUUUUUCCAUGAGGAACAAAAGAAGCCUCAAUAGCUUGCUUGGUAGUAGGAGGGAAUAACUGAAUCGAAUCACCGGCGCUCAUUGCAAAGGUUAGGAAAGGACAACUUCAGUAGCUGAAAAAAUAUUCAUAUAGAUUUGACAGCUAAAUGAACUUCAACGUUUUCUAAUGUACUACGUUAUUUUACCUACAACAUAUUUUACUAAUUAUUUAUUUCAGUAUUUCUUUAACGUACAUGGAAAACUUUGCAUAGCUUAUAACCAAACAACGUAUUUCAAAAACAAGAAUUUUCACGCUAUUCGAAUUCAAAAAAUCCAGUGUACAAAAGGUAUUCAGGUUUAAUGAAGUUCAUCGAGAAUUCGAGUGAAUCGAUUGCCGCUGCUUUUCCAAAAAAUCUUCUCGAUGAGGACAUGUCGAUUGUCACGAUCUAAUUCAAAAUUGUUCAAUACUGUUAACUGGCUAGAGUUUUUUGGAACCCAAAAAAUGUAAUUGUGCAAAUAAUUAUUAAUGAUUUUUCUUUCAAACUAACUAAACCUUUUGUUUAUGAAAUGCUUAGUAUCGUAUUUCUGACGCCUUUAAAUCCUCAUUUCGUAGUCGCUUUCGCAACAACUUAAAAUACAGCUGAAAGGAAUAUUCACUUAAGCAAUUUUUGUAAAAGCGCAAGUGUGAGUAGAACAUCAGAAGAGGGAGGGGGGAAAGAAGUAAAUAUACGAUAUUUCUAUGAAAGAAAGUUUACAGCUCCACAGAUUCCCAUGUUAUUUCUAUUAUAGUACCAGCGAGGCCUUAGACGCUUGACUGCAGUGGUCGGACGGGAACUAGUGUUUUUGUCAAGGUAAACGAUCAUUACUAAUUAUAGCAA
Non-coding RNA from Schizosaccharomyces pombe (fission yeast), 1653 nucleotides. The record is from the annotation of a GenBank genome assembly. Lineage: Eukaryota; Fungi; Ascomycota; Schizosaccharomycetes; Schizosaccharomycetales; Schizosaccharomycetaceae.